AGGCCAGUGGCUCAAUUGGCAGAGCAGCGGAUUCCAAAUCCGCAGGUUGGGGGUUCGAUUCCCUCCUGGCCUGCCA
This 76-nucleotide transfer RNA is filed under the name Halieaceae bacterium. RNAcentral describes it as "tRNA-Trp". It matches the Rfam family "tRNA". From Rfam's summary of the family: Transfer RNA (tRNA) molecules are approximately 80 nucleotides in length. Their secondary structure includes four short double-helical elements and three loops (D, anti-codon, and T loops). Further hydrogen bonds mediate the characteristic L-shaped molecular structure. tRNAs have two regions of fundamental functional importance: the anti-codon, which is responsible for specific mRNA codon recognition, and the 3' end, to which the tRNAs corresponding amino acid is attached (by aminoacyl-tRNA synthetases). tRNAs cope with the degeneracy of the genetic code in two manners: having more than one tRNA (with a specific anti-codon) for a particular amino acid; and 'wobble' base-pairing, i.e. permitting non-standard base-pairing at the 3rd anti-codon position. Lineage: Bacteria; Pseudomonadati; Pseudomonadota; Gammaproteobacteria; Cellvibrionales; Halieaceae. The record is from RNAcentral.